Molecule: ribosomal RNA, 116 nt
Filed under: uncultured bacterium
Lineage: Bacteria
Description: partial 16S ribosomal RNA
Rfam family: Bacterial small subunit ribosomal RNA
Source: RNAcentral
AUACGGUGAAUACGUUCCCGGACCUUGUACACACCGCCCGUCAAGCCAUGGAAGCUGGGUGUACCUAAAGUCGGUAACCGUAAGGAGCCGCCUAGGGUAAAACUAGUAACUGGGCU